RNAcentral lists this ribosomal RNA (253 nucleotides) under uncultured bacterium. RNAcentral describes it as "partial 16S ribosomal RNA". It matches the Rfam family "Bacterial small subunit ribosomal RNA", at positions 524 to 776 of the family's 1533-position model. The record is from RNAcentral.
UACGUAGGUGGCAAGCGUUGUCCGGAAUUAUUGGGCGUAAAGCGCGCGCAGGCGGUCCUUUAAGUCUGAUGUGAAACCUUGGGGCUUAACCCCAAGCGGCCAUUGGAAACUGGGGGACUUGAGUCGAGGAGAGGAGAGUGGAAUUCCACGUGUAGCGGUGAAAUGCGUAGAGAUGUGGAGGAACACCAGUGGCGAAGGCGGCUCUCUGGUCUCGGACUGACGCUGAGGCGCGAAAGCGUGGGGAGCAAACAGG